GACGAACGCUGGCGGCGUGCUUAACACAUGCAAGUCGAACGGAAAGGCCCUGCUUUUGUGGGGUGCUCGAGUGGCGAACGGGUGGGUAACACGUGAGUAACCUGCCCUUGACUUUGGGAUAACUUCAGGAAACUGGGGCUAAUACCGGAUAGGAGCUCCUGCUGCAUGGUGGGGGUUGGAAAGUUUCGGCGGUUGGGGAUGGACUCGCGGCUUAUCAGCUUGUUGGUGGGGUAGUGGCUUACCAAGGCUUUGACGGGUAGCCGGCCUGAGAGGGUGACCGGCCACAUUGGGACUGAGAUACGGCCCAGACUCCUACGGGAGGCAGCAGUGGGGAAUAUUGCACAAUGGGCGGAAGCCUGACGCAGCAACGCCGCGUGCGGGAUGACGGCCUUCGGGUUGUAAACCGCUUUCGCCUGUGACGAAGCGUGAGUGACGGUAAUGGGUAAAGAAGCACCGGCUAACUACGUG
This 468-nucleotide ribosomal RNA is filed under the name uncultured bacterium. Its description in RNAcentral is "partial 16S ribosomal RNA". It matches the Rfam family "Bacterial small subunit ribosomal RNA", at positions 28 to 507 of the family's 1533-position model. The record is from RNAcentral.